Molecule: unclassified non-coding RNA, 209 nt
Filed under: uncultured Entoloma
Lineage: Eukaryota; Fungi; Basidiomycota; Agaricomycetes; Agaricales; Entolomataceae
Description: sequence contains ITS2
Source: RNAcentral
AAAUUUCAACCUCUUUCUUUUCUUUUGAAAAGCAAAGGCGGCUUGGACUUUUGGAAGUUGCUGGGCAAUGCAUAGUUCAGCUCUUCUCAAAUCUAUUAGCACGAUUGCUUCUGGUUAAUCCUUUGGUAUGAUAAUUAUCUAUGCCUUGCGGAAUUUCUAGACAAUGGCAUUGUGCUUCCAAUUGUCUUGCAAAGACAGUUUUUGAACAA